This 6760-nucleotide long non-coding RNA is filed under the name Malus domestica (apple). RNAcentral describes it as "long non-coding RNA (MDOM_LNC014714)". Lineage: Eukaryota; Viridiplantae; Streptophyta; Magnoliopsida; Rosales; Rosaceae. The record is from RNAcentral.
GACCUCCGAGGCUUUCGAGGCAGUUUCCGGCCAAACCACGGCGAACUAGGUGUUGUGCAAGGUAUCAUUCUCUUUGUCUCUUCAAGGGCUACAACUUUUGUUUUUGAAUCACUUGAUUUCGUUGAGAAAUGACAAAGUUAUGGCAAUUUGAAAAACUGCCCAGAAAACGGCCGCCGGAAAAAACCAGUCCGGCGACCCAAGGAAGAAGAAGGUGCUACAGUAAAAAUAAAAAAAAAUAAAAUAAAAUUAUUUUAAAAAUAUGUCGACGUCCGUGACGUCGAGUAGAUCACUGUGGUAUAUUCAUAUACCUAAAUUGAACACCGUAUGAGAAAGUUAUUGAAGAUUGUUGGUUAGGUGUUCAAAUAACGUUUUAUAGUUUUCACAUUUAGGUGAAAAUGUGAAUUGAUGAUCCGACCGUUGGAUCGUCACCAAACUUUGAUACGUUGUAAUACGUAAUAUUUGAGGAUUAUUGGAACUUACGGAUUGGGAAUCAGAGUUACUGAUCUUCCGGAAUUGGAAUUGUAAGUCCAUAAAUAUAAAAUGUUAACCGUCACUUAGUUUUGGAAAUUGACGGAGAUCCGACCGUUGGAUGGUAAUGAAAUUUUAGGAUGUUUGUCCUAGAGGUAUAUUGUGGACCUCUGGAAGUUAUGGAUUUAAAAUCUGAGUGGCAGAUCUUCCGGAUCGAUCAACGUAGUGACGUAUUUUAUAUAAGUUAUGUAUUCUAUCGAUAUGAAUUCUGAGGUUGGAAUUGAUUAUUGUUUUAGGCGCCGAUCGUCAUGACGCCUUGGCGUAUUGUGCUAGGGAGUUGUAGGGCGAACUCCAGGUGAGUGGGCAGUUUUGUUUUCCGUAUAUAUAUAUACUUGACGUUUCCCAGAAAUUGAAUUGAAAUGAAAAUAUGUUUAAAAUGAAAUGCAUAUGAGUUAUGUGGAAAAACGGGAAGUGAAAUACCAUGCAUAGAAUUGAUAUGAAAAGUAUAUAGAAAUGUGAGUUGAAAUGCCAUGCAUGAAUUAAUUUAUGAUGCAUAUGUAUGAAUUGGUGCGGUGGACGCACAUGUAAGAAUUGAUUUAUGAUGCAUAUGUAUGAAUUGGUGCGGUGGACGCACAUGUAAGAAUUGAUUUAUGAUGCAUAUGUAUGAAAUGGUGCGGUGGACGCACAGGUGAGUAUCAGGUGAUUAUUUAAAUACUGUUAUGAUGAUGUUGAUAUAUAUUGAGCUCAAAUCCUGCACCAUGGUUUAGUGCUUAUAGUAUUCACCGCAUCGCACGCUCGCCUUGGAUCCAAGUAGAUGCUAGUCGUACAGUCCACGCGGAGUGGGUACGACAGACCAGUCGCGAGAGAGUGUUAGUGAGAUUCCGACUGGUGGGUGACCUUAGAUUAUGUGCACAGAUGAUUUAUGAGAAGCACUAGAGCGUAACUUGUGUGCAGAAGGCCGGACGGGUCACAGAGGUGACUCCGGUAGAGUGAUAAUGAUAGAUUUUGAGCUCUAGGUUCAACCGUACAGGGCUAUUAGAGGGCCUACGGUUGAUUACUUUCUUGCACCUGAUAUGAUUAUGUUGAUGCAUUCAUACCUUAUUACUGUUGAGAUGAUGUGGCAUGGCAUAAUUAAUAUGAGAAAUGUUGAGAUGAUGUGGCAUGGCAUAACUGAUAUGAAAAAUGUUGAAAAAGUGAAAUGAAGUAUUGAGAAUAUAUAUGUAUAUUUAUAUUUUACAUUUCUGGGAAAGUAUACAGGUUUUACGGAGAGGGGUUACAACGUUAUGAGAAAUGUUUGGAUUUGGAAAAGAAUUGUUUUACUGACCCACUCAAUUUUGGUUUUGCGCCCCUCCAGGUUCAGGAAUCACAAAGGUGUGGUGACUACGAGGAAUACGGCGGGGUUCUGACAGAUUGGACAAAAUUAGGACUCACCUUCGGGUGUAUCAACUUAUAAAUUGUAUAAUUAAAGCUUCCGUACUGUGCAAAUGGUUACGUCACUCUCACGUGACGGCCAGCAUGCCCUCCUUCGGGACGGGGUGUGUCAGUUGGUAUCAGAGCAUGGUUGCAAUCUUGGACAUCUUGAGAAGUUUCUAGUGAAUUCUGUCAGAACUACACCGCCUCGUAGCAAACCACGUAGUUAGAGGAACUUAGUCUCCCUGAUUUAGCGGUUUGGGGGAAACUAUUAUUAUGGUGAUUCAGUAUAUUAUCAAAAUGGACAUUUUAAGACGGGUUAUGAGUUGAAUUUGAAUCACCUUAUGAAAUGAUGAACCUGAGGGAGCGGAGUGACGGUUUAACCAAUUGGAAAAGAUGUUUCAGAUUAUGCAAGUCAAAGGAAAUUUCCUUCUGACAGGUGGGUCGAGACGACUACCUGGUUUUGGGUAUGAAAUUGUAUCCUGGUGGAAACAGGAAUGUUAAUUGUUGUCACCAGAGGAAUCAGCCGAUUUAAAAUUUUUUAAGGAAAAGUUUAUCCCUCCGGCAUUUAUCGAUGGUAGUAAGCAAGAGUUUGCAAAUGUGAAUCAAGGAAGUUGACGAUAAAGUUAAUGAUUCGUCAUAUCAAGGAUAUAGAAAGAUUCAGAGCUUCGAAAGAAGUGAAGCUAGAGUUAAUUCUUCCAGCUGAGGUUUUAAUGUCGCUGGUCAGAGUAAAAGUGAUGGAUAUACUGGUAAUCCCAGAUAUUUGAGACAAGGUGUCUCGAGUAAAGGAAAUGUACUUUGUGCAGCAGGUACAAAAUUAACACUUUGGGAAAUGUGAAAUUAAUGAAUGUGUUUAUGUGAACAGAAGGGACACAGAGUUGUGAAUCGUCCCUAGAAUCAGUUGUACUCAACAAUUUUCCAUGAAAUCAUAGUGUCGAUUCAGCAGAGUUAUGGAUUUAGUAGUUUGGUCGGAUUGACCGUGGGUACAGAGAGAUUUGAUGAGUUAUAUGUUCAGUCGUACAGACCAUGAGAAGUGGAUUCGAUUGACACAUGAGAAAUUGGUGAGUUAUAGGCUCGGCCGUACCGACCACGCGGAGUGGAUCCGGCCGACGUAUUAUUGAGAUAAGAGUUGAAUCAGCCGUAUUGGUCAUUCUAGUUGACUUCGGCUGAUAUAUUUCUUAUUAUGUAUGUUAUUACCUAGAGAGUAGUAAAUAAAUGUAGUUGAGACGAGUGUAUGUAUUUUGCAUUGAGUGACAAAAUAGUAAUGUUAUAUCUUUGAGAGUGGUUGCCUACUUAUCGAGACAACGAUGAUUUAUCAGUAUUGCGGGCUGCAGACCGUAAUAUUAAUAACUCAUUCGUGGAUUCGUUAAGCAAGCAAACCGGUAGGUUAUUUUAUGUUAGUGUUGUACUUAUUUAGAAUGCUUAAUAAUAAUAGAAUAUAUAUUGUAUCAGUUAAUUCUGUUCCAUUAGAUUGGUUGGUUAUAAUUGUGACAAGACGGAAUGUUACGGGAAACCAGUACUUUCCAUCGAUCUGGAUGACCAGAGAUUACUUUUGUAAGUAUGCAAAGUGGAUUGAGUCAGGCCGUUAUUUAUGCUGUGAGAGCAAAGAGAUUGUUUUCGAAAGGCUGUCAAAAAUACUUAGCUCAUGUGGUGCUAAAUGAUGUUGUUUGGAGUAGUGUGAAUAAUGUCGAAAGGGUUAGACUUUUCUUGAUGUCUUCCCUGAAAGUAUACCUGGAUUGCCUUCAGGCAGAGAUAUGAGGUUCACUAUUGAUUUGUUGCCAGGUAUAAAUUUAUAUUGGAGAUUGGUUCAUGAUGAGUUAAGGGAAUUGGAAAUUCAGUUGAGGGAAUUGGUUGAUAAAAGUUUUAUUCAACCUAGUACAACACUUUUGAGGAGCCCCAGUUUGUUGGUGAGGAAGAAAAUGGAUCUUGAGACUGUUCAUUGAUUAUAGACAAUGGAGUCGGGUAACGAUUGAGAACCGUUAUCCAUGGUGAUGUACUGAUGUUUAUUUAACCAGCUCAGAAGUAAUUGCGAAGAUUCAAAGAUUGAAUUGAGAUCUGGUUACUACCAAUUGAAUAUUAUAAGUGACGUUGAUCAUAAGAUGGUUUUCUGGACUUGUUAUAGUUUUUAUGAAGUUUGGUGAUGCUAUGUGGAUACUCAUGCUGUUUUAUGAGUUGAUGGAUGAAGUAUUCCAAUAAUGCCUUGAUAAAUUGAUAUCAUUUUCAUUGAAGAUAUUCUGGCAUAUUCUAAGCCUAGAGCAUGUAAACGUAUUAAGUCGGUGAAGCAAAGAUUAAGAGAACGUUGGUUGUAUGCUAAGUUUAGCAAAUGCGAAUGUUGGAUGAAUCAAGUGGCAUUCUGAGAUUGGUUAUAUCUGCUUAAGGUAUUCAAAUGAAUUCUUAAAAGGCAGCAGAAUUGAGAAAUUGGAACAACCACAAGCCAUAAUUGAGAUUCGGAAAUUCUUAACUUAUCAGGCUAUUUUGGAUGGUUGUGAAAGAAUUUUUAGUCAUUGUUUUGUCAUUGAUGAGACUGUUGAGAAAGGAGGUUAUGUAUGAGUGGGAAGGAAUUGUAAGCAAAGGAUUCAACAACUGAAGUAUUUCCUCACUCAUGCACGUAUUUUGGUAUUCCCAGAGAAUAGUGGUAAUCAUAAAUUUUUAGUGAUGUUUCUUGAAUGGUAUUGGAUGCAUGUUGAUGCAAAUGUUAGGGUGAUUGCAUACGUUUCACGAUAAAUGGAAUCUCAUAAGAUGAAUUACCCUACGGGUGACUUGGAAGUCAUGAUUACCAUUCUUGCUGUGAAGUUAUGAAGGCAUUAUAUUUGGUAAGAAUGCAAGAUUUUUACGAAUCCAAAAAGUCUUCAAUAUCCAUUACUUGGAAGGAUUUUGAUAUGAGGCAGCGAAAGUGAAUUGUAUUGCUUAAUGAACAUGAUUGUACGAUCAGGGUGAUCGUAAAGUUUGUUCUAGCUGAAGCACUUGAUAAGAAGACUGCAGUAAGAAUUAAUAUCUGGUACGCUUGCCAAGAUUAUCUUCUUGUGGAUUGGAAAUCAACUAAAGUAAAGUUAAGAAUGAAAGAUCGAGAAGAAGUUAUACUUGUUAAGUUUCAAGUUAGGCCUUUUGGUAAGGUCGUACUCGAGACUCAAAUGGUAUGUGGAUACAAGAAAACAAAAAGUAUGUGCCUAAUGCUGAGGAUUUGAAGCAAGCAAAUAUUGGACGAAGUUCACUGUUCAACUUCUGCAAUAUUCCAAAAGUAAUAAGAUUUAUCAUACCAUUCGACAGUUUUAUUUGGUCAGCAGAUUGAGGCAGAAAGAGAUAAACCUUUGGAUUGAGAUAAUUAUUUUCUGUUUCGCAGUGGAAAUGGAAAGAUAUUACUUUGGAUUAUGUGUACAAGCUUCCUUGUACACAAGAUGGUUAUGAUCGAAUUUGAAGUGAUAGUUGGUCAAUGUACCAAGUUAGUACAAUUACUCCAGUGUUGAGUAAUAAAUUUUUUUUCAGACAGGGCAACGGUACUUAAUGUAUUUGUGUUCGAUGCGUUGUCACUAGGUGGCAGAGUCGUCUCAUGGAAUUCUGGUGCAACUAUUGAGAAUUAAAUUGGAUUCGACUUGAUAAGGAACCAAGGACGACUUUGGAUUGGAAAAAGAAGGUCCUGAGAAUUAAGACAGAGUAAGUAGUAAAAGCUUUGUGAAGGAAAUCAUUCAGUAGAAAAUUAUGUGGGAAAAAGAGAAUCGGAUGAGAGAGAUUUAUCCGAGGCUAUUGUAUGAGUAUAGAUGAUUUAGUUGGUUGCUGGAAUUUCGGGGACGAAAUUCUAUAAGGAGGGGAGAUUGUCACAGCCCGUCCCGGAAUUUUUAAUUCCGAGGACAUGAAAUUACGAAAAUGUCCCUAAUACGUGACUAAGGUAUAAUUUUCACGUUCGUUAUAUCUAAGCUCCAAAAAAAAUUUGGUAAUUAGAGUGGAGACUUAGACUUAAAUUUUAUGAUGGAAUUUUAUGAAAUUGGGAUUGGAUUGGACAUGUGGGAUCCCCACACCUCAAAACCCUCCCCAUUUCCCGUAUACUGUCCUUCAUACUCUCUCUCUUCCUCAGACCUCACUCUCUCUCUCUCACCCUCUCGAACACACAGGCAACCACCCAAAACCACCUAAAACUUAUACCAACGUCGGAUUUAAAGCUACCAUGGCAUUCCUGAGGACUCCACGAUCACGUAGACACCAAUUUCAGGUAAGUUUUACUUCGGAAAACCUAGAUUCUAAACUCCCCGUGAAAGUGCACUGUUCAUGAUCUUCGAAUUGACUUUGUUUUUAGGACAAUCCAAGCUCAUAGCAAGCUUGGUGAGGUCCCAAGGAAGCUCGGAGUGCUUCGUUGGAAGUUUUUGGACGUAAGAACACGGAGAUCGACAAGUUCAAAGUUUAGCCGGAGCUUUCGAGGCGUUUUCCGGCGAAUCCCCGGCGAGUUAGGAGUCGAGGUAGGUAUCAAUCUCUUCGUCUCGUCAAGUACUACAACUUUCCUUUUGUUUUCACUCAAUUUCGUUGAGUAUUGAAGAAGUUAUACUCAUUUGAAAAAUACCCAGUUUCCGGCGACCUCCGAGGCUUUCGAGGCAGUUUCCGGCCAAACCACGGCGAACUAGGUGUUGUGCAAGGUAUCAUUCUCUUUGUCUCUUCAAGGGCUACAACUUUUGUUUUUGAAUCACUUGAUUUCGUUGAGAAAUGACAAAGUUAUGGCAAUUUGAAAAACUGCCCAGAAAACGGCCGCCGGAAAAACCAGUCCGGCGACCCAAGGAAGAAGAAGGUGCUACAGUAAAAAUAAAAAAAAUAAAAAUAAAAUUAUUUUAAAAAUAUGUCGACGUCCGUGACGUCGAGUAGAUCACUGUGGUAUAUUCAUAUACCUAAAUUGAACACC